GCCUUGUUGUGAGCAAGAAAAAAGUCCAAAAAUUGGCAGUCCAGGGUGUGAUGGCAGCUCUGAACGUCAUCAGAAAUCGGGCUCCUCUCUUCCUGUUUCUUUCAGAUCAUGUCUACUUUGUUCGCCAUCCUAGCCCCAGGGCCUAGAAGAGUCAGUUCCUAGUAUAUGGAGGCACUUAAUAAAUAUUUGUUGUUGGAUGAAUAAAUCAGUGAAUGAGUGAAGUGGAUGUGAUAUUUUUAAGCCUUUGAAAGGCAAUAGCAGUACCUUGAUAAGCAGAGACAGAGGAAAAAGGUUUUUGUAGACAGAGGGAAUUAUGUGCACAAAAACAAAGAGGCAGGAAUGGCUUGGUCUGUUUUGCUGGGCAAUUAGCCAUUUGGGGCUAGAAUUAAGGGGCAUGAUGUUAGAGGGAUGGAUUGGAGACAGAUGAAGGAAGGUCUCUAAUGCUUGGCCUUAUUUGGGGCAGCAUUAAAAAUAAACAAAUAGAAAGCAAGCUCACCUUCACAGAAUAGCGCCAUAUCUCUUUGGGACAACCACCCCCGACCCCGACCCAAUCCAAAGUCAUUGCAGUAAGUCACUCAGAGAAAACAAAAGACAAGAGAAGUCCACAAACUUGGGAUUACUCGCUGGUUGGCAUACAAAUCACCUCUUUCCUGUUAACCAACUUUACAUUUUAGAAUUUUUUCUUUUUGAUUAUAAAAGUAAUACAUAUUUAUUAUAGAAGAUUUGGAAAGCACAGAAAAAUAUAAAACAGAAAUGAAGUAUCACUACUCUGAACAUUAACGUAGGCUUUCACUGACAAAGAAGUUGCUGGGAAACUUCGUCAUGGCCCUGCAGAGUAUACUGGGGGGCGGGGGGCCAGUGGUUGUGGAGAACAUGGGGGCAACACCAGUGACUAAGCAGCUGGGACAACCACAGGAGGAAUUACUAACUUUGGAUUCAGUGAGUCUUUGGUGUCUGGCAUUGAAAAAUCGUGUUACUCCUUUACCCUCGGUUUCCUCAUCAGUCAAAGAAGGAGUUUUCUGAUCAGUGGUUUUCAAAGUGUGUCCCUUGGAGCUUUGUGGAGCCCUUUAUAAAAGGUGAGGGCAAAGGCUUGACCUCCUCACCUCUCCUCCCGGCAGCAGAGAUCCACAAGUACCUGUUUUUCAUAUUGGCUUUUGGCCUAAGUUUUAUAUAUUGGAUUUUUGUUGUUCUUGUUUAUUUUGUUUUACUUUUAACAACAGAUAGGGGGACUAACACAGGAUUGCAAUUCACCU
This is a non-coding RNA of Delphinapterus leucas (beluga whale), 1253 nucleotides long. The record is from RefSeq and is a predicted model, not a curated record. Lineage: Eukaryota; Metazoa; Chordata; Mammalia; Artiodactyla; Monodontidae.